RNAcentral lists this non-coding RNA (141 nucleotides) under Deinococcus maricopensis. RNAcentral also lists the same sequence under 1 other name. The record is from RNAcentral. Lineage: Bacteria; Thermotogati; Deinococcota; Deinococci; Deinococcales; Deinococcaceae.
GCUAAGAUCGGGCGACCUGGUGCCCGGCGCGUUUAGCCCGAGCUUAAAGUGGGGAAGUCCGGUGAGAAUCCGGCGCUGUUGCGCAGCGGUAUGAGGCCUUGAGCCUUGAGCCCGAAUGCCUGCCAGGGACGUCACGAACGU